CAGGGAAUCUUGCACAAUGGGCGAAAGCCUGAUGCAGCGACGCCGCGUGGGGGAUGAAGGCCCUAGGGUCGUAAACCCCUUUCAGCAGGGACGAAGAUGACGGUACCUGCAGAAGAAGCCCCGGCCAACUACGUGCCAGCAGCCGCGGUAAGACGUAGGGGGCGAGCGUUGUCCGGAUUUAUUGGGCGUAAAGAGCUCGUAGGCGGUUGCGUAAGUCGGAUGUGAAAACUCAGGGCUCAACCCUGAGACGCCAUCCGAUACUGCGCUGACUUGAAUCCAGUAGGGGAGUGCGGAAUUCCUGGUGUAGCGGUGAAAUGCGUAGAUAUCUGGAGGAACACCGGUGGCGAAGGCGGCGUUCUGGACUGCAACUGACACUGAAGAACGAAAGCCAGGGUAGCAAACGGGAUUAGAUACCCAAGUAGUCCCUGAGCGGGCUGGCAAGGCGCAU
RNAcentral lists this ribosomal RNA (448 nucleotides) under uncultured bacterium. Its description in RNAcentral is "bacterial SSU rRNA". It matches the Rfam family "Bacterial small subunit ribosomal RNA", at positions 355 to 825 of the family's 1533-position model. The record is from RNAcentral.